AAAAGUCACUUCAUUAGUAUUUGAAAGUUAAUUCCCCAUAUGGGAUUAAUUGUAUAGAAACACCAAUCAGCACAUCUUCCCUGCCCUGUGUGUUUGUUGCAAAGGAUCCAUACUAAAUAUGAUUUAUGUUUGAAAAUAACAGAGCAACAUUUACAUUUUCAGCGGUCCAACACAUGCUUUAUUUUGCACUUUAAACUAACCUUUUUAUUGCAACAGGUUCCUUUUAAAUGAUCCAGUGUAAUAACUACUGCUUGUGUCUUCUAUGUCUCACAUUAUGUGUUCUUUUAAAUUGUGGUAUAUAGCCUGAAUCAGACAUCAUGGACAAAAGGUUUUUACCUGUAUUACAAAGGGCUCUUGGAGACUGACCGGUCUAAAGGUUUGCCAUGCCUUUAAAACAUGGUAUAGUAUAAAUUUUUUUAAGUCUCUGAGAGUUCUGAAAGAUUCAGGUGAAACCAUGUCUGUUUAAUCUGGUCCAGAUGUUUGUUCAAUUUCUAUAAGAUUUAAAUUGAUGCAGCAUCAUCUCAGAUUAGUUAAUGGUAGUUUUAUACAAAUAGUUGAGUUAUGAGCGCGCUAUAUAAAUGGAUCCUUUCUUUAAAUACAAUACUAUAGUAGAUUAAAGUAAUGAUGUUAAUUAAGAAAAUGUAUACAUAAGAAUCCCUAAAAUAAAUCUAAACUAAAAUUGGUAUACCUUCCAAUAAUAUGUUCUGAAUACAGCUGUUAACUGUUUAUUCUGUGUAAAUGGUGAUUGUGAUAAUGUGUGAUAAGUGUGCAGUUUAACUUGAAAGUGGUUUAAUUUAUAUGUUGCUGUGUUGUUUUAAAUUAUAUGUGAAUCAGUUUGUCACAGUCUAGUGAUACUGAUAAGAAUGACAGCCAAAUAACCUAGCAAAUAACUGUUUUAUUAGUUGUUGAAUACUAGCGUUUUGGCCAAGAAUAGUUGGAGAUUUGGAGGGGUUAGUUUAAGAUUGCUUUUAUAUUGUGUCUAUCCGUGUUUCCUAGGAGGGAGACAGAGUGUGUAGUUGUGUGCCCAUAAAUGUGAUUUCUGUAUUGGCAUAUCUGCUGG
This is a non-coding RNA of Pelobates cultripes (western spadefoot toad), 1060 nucleotides long. The record is from the annotation of a GenBank genome assembly. NCBI's taxonomy places the organism in Eukaryota, Metazoa, Chordata, Amphibia, Anura, Pelobatidae.